GACGAACGCUGGCGGCGUGCUUAACACAUGCAAGUCGAACGGUGACGGAGAGCUUGCUCUCCUGAUCAGUGGCGAACGGGUGGGUAACACGUGGGCAACCUGCCCCAGACUUCGGGAUAACGCUUCGAAAGAGGUGCUAAUACCGAAUACGAACGCCGUGGGCAUCCACGGUGUUGGAAAGUUUUUCGGUCUGGGAUGGGCCCGCGGCCUAUCAGCUUGUUGGUGAGGUAAUGGCUCACCAAGGCGACGACGGGUAGCCGGCCUGAGAGGGCGACCGGCCACACUGGGACUGAGACACGGCCCAGACUCCUACGGGAGGCAGCAGUGGGGAAUAUUGCGCAAUGGGCGAAAGCCUGACGCAGCAACGCCGCGUGGGGGAUGAAGGCCUUCGGGUUGUAAACCGUCUUCUAGCAGGGAAGAAGCGAAAGUGACGGUACCUGCAGAAGAAGCACCGGCUAACUACGUAGCCAGCAGCCGCGGUAA
This 483-nucleotide ribosomal RNA is filed under the name uncultured bacterium. Its description in RNAcentral is "bacterial SSU rRNA". It matches the Rfam family "Bacterial small subunit ribosomal RNA", at positions 28 to 523 of the family's 1533-position model. The record is from RNAcentral.